UUGAACGCUGGCGGCAGGCCUAACACAUGCAAGUCGAGCGGAUGAAGGGAGCUUGCUCCUGGAUUCAGCGGCGGACGGGUGAGUAAUGCCUAGGAAUCUGCCUGGUAGUGGGGGAUAACGUCCGGAAACGGGCGCUAAUACCGCAUACGUCCUGAGGGAGAAAGUGGGGGAUCUUCGGACCUCACGCUAUCAGAUGAGCCUAGGUCGGAUUAGCUAGUUGGUGGGGUAAAGGCCUACCAAGGCGACGAUCCGUAACUGGUCUGAGAGGAUGAUCAGUCACACUGGACCUGAGACACGGUCCAGACUCCUACGGGAGGCAGCAGUGGGGAAUAUUGGACAAUGGGCGAAAGCCUGAUCCAGCCAUGCCGCGUGUGUGAAGAAGGUCUUCGGAUUGUAAAGCACUUUAAGUUGGGAGGAAGGGCAGUAAGUUAAUACCUUGCUGUUUUGACGUUACCAACAGAAUAAGCACCGGCUAACUUCGU
Molecule: ribosomal RNA, 482 nt
Filed under: uncultured bacterium
Lineage: Bacteria
Description: partial 16S ribosomal RNA
Rfam family: Bacterial small subunit ribosomal RNA
Source: RNAcentral